AAAGUACUCCCUCCGUCCCAAAAUUCUUGUCUUAGAAUUGUCUAGAUACAGAUGUAUCAAGUCACAUUUUAGUAUUAGAUACAUCCGUAUCUUGACAAAUAUAAGACAAGAAAUUUGGGACAGAGGGAGUAGUUG
Non-coding RNA from Triticum urartu, 135 nucleotides. NCBI's taxonomy places the organism in Eukaryota, Viridiplantae, Streptophyta, Magnoliopsida, Poales, Poaceae. The record is from Rfam.